GACAGAGGGGGCAAGCGUUGCUCGGAAUUACUGGGCGGAAAGGGCGCGUAGGCGGGAUGGCAAGUCGGUCGUGAAAUCCCUCGGCUCAACCGAGGAACGUCGAUCGAUACUGCUGUUCUUGAGGAUUGCAGAGGAGACUGGAAUUCCCGGUGUAGCGGUGAAAUGUGUAGAGAUCGGGAGGAGCACCGGUGGCGAAGGCGGGUCUCUGGGCAAUUCCUGACGCUGAGGCGCGAAAGCGUGGGGAGCAAACGGG
This 253-nucleotide ribosomal RNA is filed under the name uncultured bacterium. RNAcentral describes it as "partial 16S ribosomal RNA". It matches the Rfam family "Bacterial small subunit ribosomal RNA", at positions 524 to 776 of the family's 1533-position model. The record is from RNAcentral.